UACAAUUUUUAACUCUUCGUUUUAUUCAAUUUUUUUACGAUUGGUAUUUUUAUUUUUAUUAGAUGAUAAAUCAUGAGUAGUACUUUACGUGUGACUAUUUUUUUUCUAAUUUUCUGAAAAUUUUCAAAUAAAACAGAUGCUCAAACGUUGGACACGGAAACCGAAG
RNAcentral lists this microRNA precursor (166 nucleotides) under Oryza brachyantha (malo sina). Its description in RNAcentral is "MIR812 microRNA precursor family". It matches the Rfam family "MIR812 microRNA precursor family", at positions 27 to 193 of the family's 205-position model. Lineage: Eukaryota; Viridiplantae; Streptophyta; Magnoliopsida; Poales; Poaceae. The record is from Rfam by way of RNAcentral.